GCUGGGUGUGGUGGCUCACACCUGUAAUCCCAACACUGGGAGGCCGAGGCAGGCGGAUUGCCUGAGGUCAGGAGUUCAAGACCAGCCUGGCCAAUAUGGUGAAACCCUGUCUCUA
This is an unclassified non-coding RNA of Macaca fascicularis (crab-eating macaque), 115 nucleotides long. It matches the Rfam family "Metazoan signal recognition particle RNA". Rfam says of the family: The signal recognition particle (SRP) is a universally conserved ribonucleoprotein. It is involved in the co-translational targeting of proteins to membranes. The eukaryotic SRP consists of a 300-nucleotide 7S RNA and six proteins: SRPs 72, 68, 54, 19, 14, and 9. The record is from Ensembl. Lineage: Eukaryota; Metazoa; Chordata; Mammalia; Primates; Cercopithecidae.